RNAcentral lists this ribosomal RNA (266 nucleotides) under Carpetania elisae. RNAcentral describes it as "Hormogaster elisae partial 12S ribosomal RNA". Lineage: Eukaryota; Metazoa; Annelida; Clitellata; Crassiclitellata; Hormogastridae. The record is from RNAcentral.
CACCCCUAAAAGCCACUAAAGUGUGCCAAUAUGAAUAUCCAUUCACGUCAGGUCAAAGUGCAGCUAAUGAUAAGGUGAUGAUGGGUUACAACCUAAAAAUAGACUACGGAAUAUAACAUUAAAAGCUAUACAAAGGAGGACUUGGAUGUAAUACUGAUCUCAUAUCACAAUGAAUAUGAAUCUAAGACAUGCACACAUCGCCCGUCACUCUCGCCUAAAGGCGAGAUAAGUCGUAACAAAGUAGGUGUAACGGAAGUUGCACCUGU